GACGAACGCUGGCGGCGUGCUUAACACAUGCAAGUCGAUCGAAGAGCGAUGGAAGCUUGCUUCUAUCAAUCUUAGUGGCGAACGGGUGAGUAACGCGUAAUCAACCUGCCCUUCAGAGGGGGACAACAGUUGGAAACGACUGCUAAUACCGCAUACGAUCUAACCUUGGCAUCGAGGAUGGAUGAAAGGUGGCCUCUAUUUAUAAGCUAUCACUGAAGGAGGGGAUUGCGUCUGAUUAGCUAGUUGGAGGGGUAACGGCCCACCAAGGCGAUGAUCAGUAGCCGGUCUGAGAGGAUGAACGGCCACAUUGGGACUGAGACACGGCCCAGACUCCUACGGGAGGCAGCAGUGGGGAAUCUUCCGCAAUGGACGAAAGUCUGACGGAGCAACGCCGCGUGAGUGAUGACGGCCUUCGGGUUGUAAAGCUCUGUUAAUCGGGACGAAAGGCCUUCUUGCGAAUAGUGAGAAGGAUUGACGGUACCGGAAUAGAAAGCCACGGCUAACUACGUGCCAGCAGCCGCGGUAAUACGUAGGUGGCAAGCGUUGUCCGGAAUUAUUGGGCGUAAAGCGCGCGCAGGCGGAUCAGUCAGUCUGUCUUAAAAGUUCGGGGCUUAACCCCGUGAUGGGAUGGAAACUGCUGAUCUAGAGUAUCGGAGAGGAAAGUGGAAUUCCUAGUGUAGCGGUGAAAUGCGUAGAUAUUAGGAAGAACACCAGUGGCGAAGGCGACUUUCUGGACGAAAACUGACGCUGAGGCGCGAAAGCCAGGGGAGCGAACGGG
This 778-nucleotide ribosomal RNA is filed under the name Veillonella dispar. RNAcentral's name for it is "bacterial SSU rRNA". It matches the Rfam family "Bacterial small subunit ribosomal RNA", at positions 28 to 776 of the family's 1533-position model. The record is from RNAcentral. Lineage: Bacteria; Bacillati; Bacillota; Negativicutes; Veillonellales; Veillonellaceae.